This is a non-coding RNA of Paramuricea clavata, 214 nucleotides long. The record is from the annotation of a GenBank genome assembly. Lineage: Eukaryota; Metazoa; Cnidaria; Anthozoa; Malacalcyonacea; Plexauridae.
CCGAAUCUUUAAACUCUGAAUCGAAAAAAUCCCGAAUCUUUAGACUUGGAAUCGAAAACCCCCCGAAUCUUUAAAUUUGGAAUCGAAAAACCCCCGAAUCUUUAACCUUGGAAUCGAAAACCCCCCGAAUCUUUAAACUCUGAAUCGAAAUCGUCGAAUUGCCAUCGUCGAAUUGCCAGUAGAAUUUUUGAUAAACCAGUACAUACAGUACAGC